GCCAGCAGCCAUAUCACUCUGCAACUCACAACUGGCAACCCACUGAAGCUCAGCAGGUGUGAGCCUGGUCAAUACCUGGAUGGGAGACCUCCUGGGAAAAACUAAGGUUGCUGCUGGAA
RNAcentral lists this ribosomal RNA (119 nucleotides) under Atractosteus spatula (alligator gar). Lineage: Eukaryota; Metazoa; Chordata; Actinopteri; Semionotiformes; Lepisosteidae. The record is from RNAcentral. RNAcentral also lists the same sequence under 1 other name.